Molecule: ribosomal RNA, 456 nt
Filed under: uncultured Methanosaeta sp.
Lineage: Archaea; Methanobacteriati; Methanobacteriota; Methanomicrobia; Methanotrichales; Methanotrichaceae
Description: bacterial SSU rRNA
Rfam family: Archaeal small subunit ribosomal RNA
Source: RNAcentral
AACGGGUGGAGCGUUGCGGUUUAAUUGGAUUCAACGCCGAAAUCUUACCGGGACCGACAGCAAUAUGAAGGCCAGGCUGAAGACUUUGCCGGAUUAGCUGAGAGGUGGUGCAUGGCCGUCGUCAGUUCGUACUGUGAAGCAUCCUGUUAAGUCAGGCAACGAGCGAGACCCACGCCCACAGUUGCCAGCGUACUCUCUGGAGUGACGGGUACACUGUGGGGACCGCCGCUGCUAAAGCGGAGGAAGGAAUGGGCAACGGUAGGUCAGUAUGCCCCGAAUAUCCCGGGCUACACGCGAGCUACAAUGGUUGGUACAAUGGGUAUCUACCCCGAAAGGGGACGGGAAUCUCCUAAAACCAAUCUUAGUUCGGAUUGAGGGCUGCAACUCGCCCUCAUGAAGCUGGAAUCCGUAGUAAUCGCGUUUCAACAGAACGCGGUGAAUACGUCCCUGCUCCUU